AUAAAAUAUAUAAAAGUAUUAAUUUUAAUAAUUAUUAUUACUAUUAAUUUUAUAAUAUUUAUUCAAUAAUAUAUCGGUUAAACAUUGGUUCGAUCUCCGUUAAACCUUAAACCCUUUAACUUUCCCGGUUUAAUGACCAAGCAGGAUUUAAAAACCUUGAUAUUAAGAACUAAAAGUGCUAAUUUUGAAAAAGUGGGGACCAAAGUGUAAACUAAGGUAAACCUCGGGGG
Molecule: unclassified non-coding RNA, 230 nt
Filed under: Hevea brasiliensis (rubber tree)
Lineage: Eukaryota; Viridiplantae; Streptophyta; Magnoliopsida; Malpighiales; Euphorbiaceae
Source: RNAcentral